Molecule: ribosomal RNA, 425 nt
Filed under: uncultured bacterium
Lineage: Bacteria
Description: partial 16S ribosomal RNA
Rfam family: Bacterial small subunit ribosomal RNA
Source: RNAcentral
GUGAGGAAUAUUGCGCAAUGGAGGCAACCCUGAUCUAGCCAUGCCGCGUGAGUGAUGAAGGCCUUAGGGUCGUAAAGCUCUUUCGCCGGGGAAGAUAAUGACGGUACCCGGUAAAGAAACCCCGGCUAACUCCGUGCCAGCAGCCGCGGUAAUACGGAGGGGGUUAGCGUUGUUCGGAAUUACUGGGCGUAAAGCGCGCGUAGGCGGAUCGGAAAGUUGGGGGUGAAAUCCCGGGGCUCAACCCCGGAAUUGCCUUCAAAACUCCCGGUCUUGAGGUCGAGAGAGGUGAGUGGAAUUCCGAGUGUAGAGGUGAAAUUCGUAGAUAUUCGGAGGAACACCAGUGGCGAAGGCGGCUCACUGGCUCGAUACUGACGCUGAGGUGCGAAAGCGUGGGGAGCAAACAGGAUUAGAUACCCCAGUAGUCC